UGCCUACGGGGGGCAGCAGUGAGGAAUAUUGGUCAAUGGGCUUACGCCUGAACCAGCCAAGCCGCGUGAGGGAGGAAGGUACAGAGUAUCGUAAACCUCUUUUGUCAGGGAACAAAGGCGGGGACGUGUCCCCGGAUGAGUGUACCUGAAGAAAAAGCAUCGGCUAACUCCGUGCCAGCAGCCGCGGUAAUACGGAGGAUGCGAGCGUUAUCCGGAUUUAUUGGGUUUAAAGGGUGCGCAGGCGGUCUGUUAAGUCAGCGGUCAAAGCCCGGGGCUCAACCCCGGCCCGCCGUUGAAACUGGCCC
RNAcentral lists this ribosomal RNA (305 nucleotides) under uncultured bacterium. Its description in RNAcentral is "bacterial SSU rRNA". It matches the Rfam family "Bacterial small subunit ribosomal RNA", at positions 335 to 639 of the family's 1533-position model. The record is from RNAcentral.